This 254-nucleotide ribosomal RNA is filed under the name uncultured bacterium. RNAcentral describes it as "partial 16S ribosomal RNA". It matches the Rfam family "Bacterial small subunit ribosomal RNA", at positions 524 to 776 of the family's 1533-position model. The record is from RNAcentral.
UACGUAGGGUGCGAGCGUUGUCCGGAAUUAUUGGGCGUAAAGAGCUUGUAGGCGGUUUGUCGCGUCUGCUGUGAAGAUCCGAGGCUCAACCUCGGACUUGCAGUGGGUACGGGCAGACUAGAGUGUGGUAGGGGAGACUGGAAUUCCUGGUGUAGCGGUGGAAGUGCGCAGAUAUCAGGAGGAACACCGGUGGCGAAGGCGGAUCUCUGGGCCAUUACUGACGCUGAGGAGCGAAAGCGUGGGGAGCGAACAGG